RNAcentral lists this long non-coding RNA (945 nucleotides) under Nicotiana benthamiana. Its description in RNAcentral is "long non-coding RNA (NBEN_LNC028024)". Lineage: Eukaryota; Viridiplantae; Streptophyta; Magnoliopsida; Solanales; Solanaceae. The record is from RNAcentral.
ACGGGUUCAACCAAUGCCUUAGAUUAGAAGAUUUAGCUACUCAUGACAAUAACAAAUAUCAUAAUAAUAAAUUUCAUUACAAAUCAGUAAAACAAAAGAAGAAGAAAAACCAAAAUGAAGACAACUCUUCUUAGCUCCUUGCUUUUCUCUUCUUGUUCUUGGCUUCUCAAAACUCUCAAAACCCAGAUCUUGAUCCUCUUGGUUGAGCUUGACUUUAUGUAAGUUGAGUGGGUUCUUUUCAAAUUUCCAAUUUUAUGCCUAAAUAAUUCUUUUUCCGGACUGGAAACGAGUGACUUCGCAUAGUCUUCACGAGAUUCACUGCCUCAGAGGCUUAAACGCGUGACUUUGCGCAGUCUUCACUCGCCUGACUGACCCAAUUUUCUUCCAUUUUCUUGUCUCUUCCUUGGGUGUAAACAUUCUGAAGGAUUGUUUUUGCUCAUAAAUUAUUCCCAUAGCCUUUUCAAAGUAUCAUAUAGGCUCCUCUUCCUACAAUGCAUACAAAUCAUAAUUAAAGCCUAUUUCUCAUUAAUUAGCUAUAUUAUGUUAUUGGAAUAUAAUCAAGCGAGAGCAUAAAUAACGACUAAAUCACACAGAUUUCACCUCUUAUCACUUAUCCCAAGGAUAAACAAGCGACAGAACUCUAUCCUCAUGUGAUAUAUUUCUGACUCGGUAACUUCUUUCUGGGGAAGACGGGAACAAUGUUUUGGUGAAGCACUCUAAAGUUGGUUCGGGGGAUCUAUUGAUGAAGCAACAACUCGGGGUCUAACUUGGUCUUCAACAGACUCUGAUAUAUUAGGAUCCAUUUACAUCCACUGUAUGCAAGAUACUUCUCCCACAACCGGCAAGUAUUUCGCCGAUUGCUAACCACCUUGAGCGACGUGCUGAAGUGUGAAUGAGCAUGUGAAUGUUAGACUCAUGCUAUAGAUACCUCCACUUUAUAAUUAU